GCAAAACAAAGCAUUCACAUAGAAAAACAUUUGGCAUCUUCUACCAAUUCUCAUCAAUUCAGCAUUGUGAUCAUUAUCAAUGCAUAUCCACCAACCCAAGAAACAAUCAUCAAAUGUAAAAUGAGAACCUCCCACAAACGAAAAUCAAUUGUGGAUUUCAGAAGCUCCUAGGCAAUGAAACUAGAUAUAAUAAUACACCAGGCGCACUUAAAUGAUAACAGAACUAAGGAGCGAGGUUUGCUUUUCCAAUGCAUCCGAACAAUGAAUCUGCUACAUAAUUUGUGGAAAUCCUAGAAACCAUACACGUACAAUAAUCACCUAUAUGAAUCUGGACGUUUUGGCCUGCUUUGAACAACAGCCUCUAUCUUCUCCAUCACAGCAGGAGUCAACAAGGGGAUGACGUCAAAGGCUUUCAUGUUCUCUUGAAUCUGAGACUCCUUUGUAGCACCAGUAAUAACUGAUGACACAUUUGGAUUAGCAGCACACCAUGCAAUUGCAAGUUGAGAUAAAGGCACACCCAGUUCGUCAGCAAUUGGCUUCAGUCCGCUAACCUUUUUAAGAACAUCAUCAACCAGUGACCGGCUAGCAAGAUUUUUGUAAUUUUCCAGUGCAAACCGGCUAUCAGAAGGUAUAGUUCCCUUGUUGUACUUUCCAGUAAGCACCCCAGAUGCAAGUGGACUCCAUGUGGUGAGACCCAGGCCAUAGUUGGUGUACAGAGGGAGGUACUCUGACUCAACCUGUAUCCAUACAAGAUACAAGUAAAUCAUAAACCAAAAAGAUCGAGACUUAUAAAUCUGACGUAGAUAUAUAAAACAAAACCAAGUUCUUAUGGUUAAACCCAGAGCUGAAAAUUAUUUCUUAUUACCACUAUAAAAGAUACAUAAAUGAAGACGUGGCAAUUGACAAGAAAUUUCACUUAUAAGGCAAAUCAAGGAAAAAUUGAAGAGAGAAUGUUUAUAAAUUACCUAUUUGUCUAGAAAUAAAGAAUAACUGUAACUAAUACCAAAAUUUGGCCAUUUCAUCUCAUUGCAAAACAUGUUCCAAAUAAUGACAUAAAAAGUCACUUCCCUUGGAAAGUUCAAAGUUGUAUAUUUUUCCAAGGGAAUCUAAAGAUUCAUCAGCGACAAGAUCCAAAACCGCCAGAAGCUUUCAAAGAGUAGGCAGCUCCUGAAGCUUACAUGAUUUGUUUGGCACUGCAGUUGCAACUGCUUCGUUAAAAACCAACCACAACUGCAAUGUCAACACCCCUCAAACAUCCUUUUUUUUUUCUUUUUUUCCUUUGCCGCUGCUGCUUUUUUAUUUGAACUAUCAAUGACAAAUCUGCACCAUCCCCAGAAUUUUCUUUCUCAAGGGAAUAUUUUGCAUCCAACCUUAGGCCUAAAGUGGUAGGUGAAAUAGACAUAAAACUUUCAACUAAAAAACCAAAAACCACUAUCAGAACCUUUUAUUCUAGACCAACAUAGUAUAUAUAAUUAUAAAGAACCUUUAUAAAAGACCAAAAAGGAGGGGUUUCAAGUGUUUUAAUAUAUGAAAUAGAAAAUGAAUUGCUGCUCAAAGCAACUGUGCCUUCAGAAAAAAUGCCAUCCCAUAUUUCUCAUAUCCCAAAACACAAUUCCUUGCUACUUCAGGUGAAUUCAUUGAAUUUGGAAAUUCUUCAGGAGGAAUGUGUUUGGCUAAUUUCUUCCAAAAGAGAACCAUAAGAACAGCCAAACAAACUAUUCAUAUCAAGUGCAGGUGCAGCUAAAACGAUCUUUGCAUAUAGAAUAGAAGACAAGCUAAGUUAACCCAAAAAACUCCUUAACCCAUUUCCUUCAAACAGAAAAAAAUACUAAUAUGUGAGAACUGUAUGAAAGACAUUUUUCAGUACCAAAAACAAAAAUCAAAUGUUUAAAUUUUGAAUGUAAAGAAAAAUCAAUCACCUUGUGUCUGGAGAGUAAAUUAUACUCUGGCUGCUCCACAAUGGGCCCCACCAAGUCCAAUCUUUCUGCAAUGCCCCAUGCUUCAGUGAUCUGCUGUGCUGACCACUCACUAGUCCCCCAAUAAAAUGCCCAACCCUUAUCAAUCACAUAAUUCAUUGCCCUUACUGUUUCUUCAAUUGGUGUUGAGGAGUCUGGCCGGUGACAGUAAAUCAAAUCAACAUAAUCCAUAUCCAGCCUCUUGAGCGAAGCUUUGGUGCCUUCUACAAUAUGUUUCCUGGACAAGCCCCUAUCGUUAGGACCGGAACCUCCCCAGAAGAUCUUAGUAGAGACAACAAUAUCAGAGCGCUUCCAUCCAAGCUCACGGAUCGCUUGACCCAUGAUCUCCUCGGCCCUUCCAUUGGCAUAAACCUCAGCGUUAUCAAAGAAGUUAACACCGUGGUCACGGCAGCACUGCAAGAGGGACUUGGCCUCCUUGACGUCGAGCUGAUUGCCGAAGCUGACCCAGGAGCCAUAAGAGAGCUGGCUGACCUUGAGGCCUGAGCGACCGAGGUUAUUGUAAUGCAUUUUGGGGGUAGGUAGAGAUAGAUGGGGAUGGACUAAUCGGUGACUGUGAGGGAUGUUAACAAAAAUGAAGGCAGUUUGGUGUGUAGACUCUGUAGAGAUGAAACAGCGGAGUUCAAAGUGAGGCUGAAGAGAAAUGUUUGUGUGUUGUUGGUUUAUGUGGAGCUCGGUUUAAUCAGCACGUGGAUUGGUGCUGUGAUCU
RNAcentral lists this unclassified non-coding RNA (2682 nucleotides) under Hevea brasiliensis (rubber tree). The record is from RNAcentral. Lineage: Eukaryota; Viridiplantae; Streptophyta; Magnoliopsida; Malpighiales; Euphorbiaceae.